UGUUUACUCGAGGAAAGUCCGGACUCCACAGAGCACGGUGGUCACUAACGGUGACCCAGGGUGACCUGCGGGACAGUGCCACAGAAAACAAACCGCCCACGGUGGAAACACUAGUGGGUAAGGGUGAAAAGGUGCGGUAAGAGCGCACCAGCACCUCAGGUGACUGAGGUGGCUAGGUAAACCCCACCGGGAGCAAGGCUAAAGGGCGCACCACCACGGUGUGCCUGCAUGGAUCAGGCUGCUCGUCUACCGUAUCCAUGGGUGAGCCGCUCGAGGCCGCAUGCCGGCCCUAGAUGGAUGUUCGCCACCGUCAGCACUACGUAUGCAGACGGGAACAAAAUCCGGCUUAUCGGCUAACUCA
RNAcentral lists this RNase P RNA (361 nucleotides) under Corynebacterium argentoratense. Its description in RNAcentral is "Bacterial RNase P class A". It matches the Rfam family "Bacterial RNase P class A", at positions 34 to 362 of the family's 367-position model. From Rfam's summary of the family: Ribonuclease P (RNase P) is a ubiquitous endoribonuclease, found in archaea, bacteria and eukarya as well as chloroplasts and mitochondria. Its best characterised activity is the generation of mature 5'-ends of tRNAs by cleaving the 5'-leader elements of precursor-tRNAs. Cellular RNase Ps are ribonucleoproteins. Lineage: Bacteria; Bacillati; Actinomycetota; Actinomycetes; Mycobacteriales; Corynebacteriaceae. The record is from RNAcentral.